Molecule: ribosomal RNA, 2911 nt
Filed under: Enterococcus faecalis
Lineage: Bacteria; Bacillati; Bacillota; Bacilli; Lactobacillales; Enterococcaceae
Description: bacterial LSU rRNA
Rfam family: Bacterial large subunit ribosomal RNA
Source: RNAcentral
UUAAGUGAAUAAGGGCGCACGGUGGAUGCCUUGGCACUAGGAGCCGAUGAAGGACGGGACUAACACCGAUAUGCUUUGGGGAGCUGUAAGUAAGCUAUGAUCCAGAGAUUUCCGAAUGGGGGAACCCAAUAUCUUUUAUAGGAUAUUACUUUUCAGUGAAUACAUAGCUGAUUAGAGGUAGACGCAGAGAACUGAAACAUCUUAGUAUCUGCAGGAAGAGAAAGAAAAUUCGAUUCCCUGAGUAGCGGCGAGCGAAACGGGAAGAGCCCAAACCAACAAGCUUGCUUGUUGGGGUUGUAGGACUCCGAUAUGGUAGUCUGUUAGUAUAGUUGAAGGAUUUGGAAAAUUCCGCUAAAGAGGGUGAAAGCCCCGUAGACGAAAUGCUGACAACACCUAGGAGGAUCCUGAGUACGGCGGAACACGAGAAAUUCCGUCGGAAUCCGCGGGGACCAUCCCGCAAGGCUAAAUACUCCCUAGUGACCGAUAGUGAACCAGUACCGUGAGGGAAAGGUGAAAAGCACCCCGGAAGGGGAGUGAAAUAGAUCCUGAAACCGUGUGCCUACAACAAGUCAAAGCUCGUUAAUGAGUGAUGGCGUGCCUUUUGUAGAAUGAACCGGCGAGUUACGAUUGCAUGCGAGGUUAAGUCGAAGAGACGGAGCCGCAGCGAAAGCGAGUCUGAAUAGGGCGAAUGAGUAUGUAGUCGUAGACCCGAAACCAUGUGAUCUACCCAUGUCCAGGUUGAAGGUGCGGUAAAACGCACUGGAGGACCGAACCCACGUACGUUGAAAAGUGCGGGGAUGAGGUGUGGGUAGCGGAGAAAUUCCAAACGAACUUGGAGAUAGCUGGUUCUCUCCGAAAUAGCUUUAGGGCUAGCCUCGGAAUUGAGAAUGAUGGAGGUAGAGCACUGUUUGGACUAGGGGCCCAUCUCGGGUUACCGAAUUCAGAUAAACUCCGAAUGCCAUUCAUUUAUAUCCGGGAGUCAGACUGCGAGUGAUAAGAUCCGUAGUCGAAAGGGAAACAGCCCAGACCACCAGCUAAGGUCCCAAAAUAUAUGUUAAGUGGAAAAGGAUGUGGGGUUGCACAGACAACUAGGAUGUUGGCUUAGAAGCAGCCACCAUUUAAAGAGUGCGUAAUAGCUCACUAGUCGAGUGACCCUGCGCCGAAAAUGUACCGGGGCUAAACAUAUUACCGAAGCUGUGGACUACACCAUUAGGUGUAGUGGUAGGAGAGCGUUCUAAGGGCGUUGAAGGUCGAUCGUGAGGACGGCUGGAGCGCUUAGAAGUGAGAAUGCCGGUAUGAGUAGCGAAAGACAGGUGAGAAUCCUGUCCACCGUAUGACUAAGGUUUCCUGGGGAAGGCUCGUCCGCCCAGGGUUAGUCGGGACCUAAGCCGAGGCCGAUAGGCGUAGGCGAUGGACAACAGGUUGAUAUUCCUGUACCAGUUGUUUUUGUUUGAGCAAUGGAGGGACGCAGUAGGCUAAGGAAUGCAUGCGAUUGGAAGUGCAUGUCCAAGCAAUGAGUCUUGAGUAGAGUUAAAUGCUUUACUCUCUAAGGACAAGUUGUGACGGGGAGCGAAAUAAUAGUAGCGAAGUUCCUGAUGUCACACUGCCAAGAAAAGCUUCUAGUGAGAAAACAACUGCCCGUACCGUAAACCGACACAGGUAGUCGAGGAGAGUAUCCUAAGGUGAGCGAGCGAACUCUCGUUAAGGAACUCGGCAAAAUGACCCCGUAACUUUGGGAGAAGGGGUGCUGACUUCGGUCAGCCGCAGUGAAUAGGCCCAAGCGACUGUUUAUCAAAAACACAGGUCUCUGCAAAAUCGUAAGAUGAAGUAUAGGGGCUGACGCCUGCCCGGUGCUGGAAGGUUAAGAGGAUGGGUUAGCUUCGGCGAAGCUCAGAAUUGAAGCCCCAGUAAACGGCGGCCGUAACUAUAACGGUCCUAAGGUAGCGAAAUUCCUUGUCGGGUAAGUUCCGACCCGCACGAAAGGCGUAACGAUUUGGGCACUGUCUCAACGAGAGACUCGGUGAAAUUUUAGUACCUGUGAAGAUGCAGGUUACCCGCGACAGGACGGAAAGACCCCAUGGAGCUUUACUGUAGUUUGAUAUUGAGUGUUUGUACCACAUGUACAGGAUAGGUAGGAGCCGAUGAGACCGGAACGCUAGUUUCGGAGGAGGCGCUGGUGGGAUACUACCCUUGUGUUAUGAACCCUCUAACCCGCACCACUAAUCGUGGUGGGAGACAGUGUCAGAUGGGCAGUUUGACUGGGGCGGUCGCCUCCUAAAAGGUAACGGAGGCGCCCAAAGGUUCCCUCAGAAUGGUUGGAAAUCAUUCGAAGAGUGUAAAGGCAGAAGGGAGCUUGACUGCGAGACCUACAAGUCGAGCAGGGACGAAAGUCGGGCUUAGUGAUCCGGUGGUUCCGCAUGGAAGGGCCAUCGCUCAACGGAUAAAAGCUACCCUGGGGAUAACAGGCUUAUCUCCCCCAAGAGUCCACAUCGACGGGGAGGUUUGGCACCUCGAUGUCGGCUCGUCGCAUCCUGGGGCUGUAGUCGGUCCCAAGGGUUGGGCUGUUCGCCCAUUAAAGCGGCACGCGAGCUGGGUUCAGAACGUCGUGAGACAGUUCGGUCCCUAUCCGUCGCGGGCGUUGGAAAUUUGAGAGGAGCUGUCCUUAGUACGAGAGGACCGGGAUGGACUUACCGCUGGUGUACCAGUUGUUCUGCCAAGGGCAUUGCUGGGUAGCUAUGUAGGGAAGGGAUAAACGCUGAAAGCAUCUAAGUGUGAAGCCCACCUCAAGAUGAGAUUUCCCAUUUCUUUAAGAAAGUAAGACCCCUGAGAGAUGAUCAGGUAGAUAGGUUGGAAGUGGAAGGCUAGUGAUAGUUGGAGCGGACCAAUACUAAUCGGUCGAGGACUUAACCAA